CUUGAUGGAGCCCAGCCACAGGGGCCGGUCGGCCGGCCGGUCCUGGCCGUAGGUGGCCAGCAGCGCUCGUGCCUC
RNAcentral lists this antisense RNA (75 nucleotides) under Streptomyces avermitilis MA-4680 = NBRC 14893. RNAcentral's name for it is "Streptomyces avermitilis MA-4680 ASpks TB sRNA". It matches the Rfam family "ASpks TB sRNA". The record is from Rfam by way of RNAcentral. Lineage: Bacteria; Bacillati; Actinomycetota; Actinomycetes; Kitasatosporales; Streptomycetaceae.